AAUCAACGCUGGCGGCGUGCCUCAGACAUGCAAGUCGAACGCGAAAGUCCCCUUCGGGGGACAAGUAGAGUGGCGCACGGGUGAGUGACACGUAGGUAAUCUACCUUCGGGUGGGGAAUAACAACCGGGAACGGUUGCUAAUACCGCAUAAUGCAGCGGCACCUAAUGGUGACAGUUGUUAAAGCGGGGGAUCGCAAGACCUCGCGCCUGAAGAGGAGCCUGCGGCGGAUUAGCUAGUUGGCAGGGUAACGGCCUACCAAGGCGACGAUCCGUAGCCGGCCUGAGAGGGCGGUCGGCCACACUGACACUGACAUACGGGUCAGACUCCUACGGGAGGCAGCAGUCGGGAAUUUGGGCAAUGGGCGAAAGCCUGACCCAGCAACGCCGCGUGAAGGAUGAAAUCCCUCGGGAUGUAAACUUCGCAAGAACGGGGAGAAUAAGCCGGUGUGAACACCACCGGCGAUGACGGUACCGUUUGUAAGCUCCGGCUAACUCCGUGCCAGCAGCCGCGGUAAUAC
RNAcentral lists this ribosomal RNA (518 nucleotides) under uncultured bacterium. Its description in RNAcentral is "bacterial SSU rRNA". It matches the Rfam family "Bacterial small subunit ribosomal RNA", at positions 32 to 526 of the family's 1533-position model. The record is from RNAcentral.